GCCCCCAGCUCCCGCCCCGCCGCCCCGCUGGACCGGAGGCUGGCGCUGCCGACCCGGGCUGGCGCCGCCUACGAGGCCCGGGGGACCUUCUGAAAAAGGCUUACAUCACCACAGCCUUUAUAGAAACAGUCACCUUCACAGCUGUUCAUUCUGAGCCAAUGACUGCAUACUCUGGGAAGGACAAGGUUACAGAGGAAGACUGCUACCUUCACUGCCUGCUGCACAGACUCAUCACUUACGGCUCUGGACUGCAGACAAUAUUUGCAAUAGCAAUGUGGCAGAGGUAGAUGUGCCGCUUCGAAGUUGGAGGUGGCACUUAGAAGAGGGUGAGGUUAGGAUCCGCAUCAAGGACAGAUCAGAAGAAGAACGUCCGGAGCGUGGAGAGGAGGAGGAAAGAGAGUCCCUUCGCCUGUGUUGCCUGUUCUUCCCCGGGCACAGUUCACCCACCUGUUGGCACACGGCACCAAGCAGAUGAGGGACAUUGGGUAACAUAGAAGACCAUGAGAUUCCCCAACUAUUGAGUUAUCUUCAGAGAGAAGGAGUUUAAAUGCACUCGCAUAUGAAACAGAACAACGCACAGUUAAAAAUCUGCGCUUUGGAGCCUGACAGACACAGGGACGCAAAAGGAGUCAGAUCAGAAGAAGGGAGGGUGAAGACAGAAGCAGGGGGAGCAACUGUGAUGUGACGUGGGCCACGAGCAGGAAUGAGGACAUUCCUUCUAGAAGCUGGAAGAGGGAAGGAAAUAGAUCGUCCCCUGAGCCUCCAGAAAGAACACGGCCUUGCUGCACCUUGUUUUCAGCUCCAUAAAAUUAUUUCCGAUUUCUGAUCUCCAGAAGUAGAAGAUAAUAAAUUUGUAUCGUUCUGAGCCA
Suricata suricatta (meerkat) is the source of this 869-nucleotide long non-coding RNA. RefSeq lists it as uncharacterized. The transcript has 5 exons. The record is from RefSeq and is a predicted model, not a curated record. Lineage: Eukaryota; Metazoa; Chordata; Mammalia; Carnivora; Herpestidae.